AGUAGUCAUAUGCCCUGUCUCAAAGUUAGUGCCAUAGCAUGUGUAAGUAUGAGCUAAUGUCAGACUGUGAAACUGCGAAUAUGGCUCAUUAAAUCAGUUAUAAGUUUGAUUUGGAUGUAUCUGCUACUGUACUAGGUCGGAUAACCCGUAGUAAUUCUAUAGAGCUACAUACGUGCACAUAUACCCCGGGAACUGUCAUAGGCAGAAUGGGGACUGCAUUUAUUAGACCUAAAAGGUCACCGGAUCGGCCGCGGGCUACUGCCCGUGUUGCUGUAACUGAUGGAUGGUCAUAGGAUCGUACACUCGGGACCCGAGGAUAGAGCGGGUCCAUAAUUACGUGCAGAGCGACGCAUCAUUCAAACUAUGUUAUUCUGCCCUAUUGGGAUUCAGAUUCAACUAUUCGAUGGUUAGGAUAGAGGCCACCAUGGUGGUUUAGACGGGGUGACGGAGAAUUUAGGGUUUCAGAUUUCCGGAGAGGUGAGCCUUGAGAACGGCUACCACAUCCAGGAAGGCAGCAGGCGCGCAAGACUUACCCAAUCCUGACACGGGAGGUAGCGACAAUAGAAUAACACAUACGGGCUCUUAGAGUCUGUAAUUUGGAAUGAGUACAAUCUAAAUCCCUUAACAGAGGAUCCAUUGGAGGGCAAGUAUGGUGCAGGCAGCCGCGGUAAUUCCAGCUCCAAUAGCGUAUAUUUAAGGUUGUUUGCGUUUAAAAGCUCGCUAGUUUGGACCUUGGGUUGGUCCGACCGGAAGUUCCGCCUCGCGGUGUGCACAACUGUCCGGGCUCGUCCCUAUCUGCCGCGAUGCGCUCCUUGGCCUUAACUGGCCGGGUCGUGCCUCCGGCGCUGUUACUUGAAGAAAUUAGAGUGCUCAAAGCAAGCCAGACGCUUGGGAUACAAAUUAAGCAUGGAUAACAUCAUUAGGAUUUCGUCCUAUUGUGUUGGCCUUCGGGAAUCGGGAGUAAUGAUUAACAGGGACAGUCGGGGGCAUUCGUAUUUCAUCAUAGUCAAGGGUGAAAUUCUUGGAUUAUGAAAGAAGAACAACUGCGAAAGCAUUUGCCAAGGAUGUUCUUUCAUUAAUCAAGAAACGAAAGUUGGGGCUCGAAAGACGACAAGAUACCGUCCUAGUCUCACCAUAAACGAUGCGGGACUCAGUGGAUCGGGCGGAUGUUGCUUUAGGACUCCGGCGGCAACCUUAUGAGAAAUCAAAGUCUUUGGGUUCCGGGGAGUAUGGUCGCAAGGCUGAAACUUAAAGGAAUUGACGGGAAGGGCACCACCCAGGAGUGGAGCCUGCGGCUUAAUUUGACUCAACACGGGGAAACCUUACCAGGUCCGACAUAGUAAAGGAUUGACCAGACUGAGAGCUCUUUCUUGAUUCUAUGGUGGUGGUGCCAUGGCCCGUUUCUUAGUUGGUUUGGAGCGAUUUGUCUGGUUAAUUCCGUUAAACGAACGAGACCCUCAGCCUGCUAACUAGCUAAUGCGGAGGUGACCCUCCGCGGCAGCUUCUUAGAGGGAACUAUGGCCUUUUAGGCCAGGAAGUUGAGGCAAUAACUAGGUCCUGUGAUGCCUUAGAUGUUCUGGCCGCACGCGCGCUACACUGAUGUAAUUCAAACGAGUCCUAUCAGCCUGGCCCGACAGGCCCGGGUAAUCUGCUUUGAAAUUUCAUCGUAUGGGGAAUGAAUCAAUUGCAAUUGUUGGUCUUCAACGAGGAAUUCCUAGUAAAGCGCGAGUCAUCAAGCUCGCGUUGACUACGUCCCUGCCCUUUGUACACACCGCCGCGUCGUCCUACCGAUUGAAUGGUCCGGUGGAAGUGUUUUUCGAUCGCGGGACGUGGGCGGUUCGCCCCGCCGGCGACGUCGCGAAGAAGUCACUGAACUUAUCAUUUAGAGGAAGGAGAAGUCGUAACAAGGUUUCCGUAAGGUGAACCUGCGGAAG
This 1934-nucleotide ribosomal RNA is filed under the name Hevea brasiliensis (rubber tree). RNAcentral describes it as "SSU rRNA". It matches the Rfam family "Eukaryotic small subunit ribosomal RNA". Lineage: Eukaryota; Viridiplantae; Streptophyta; Magnoliopsida; Malpighiales; Euphorbiaceae. The record is from RNAcentral.